AACCACUGAUGACACCUUUUAUUAUUCUGACACCUCAUAUGAGCGCUGCCCAGCAGUGCCUGAAUAUCAUUUACAGUCUGAGGUUC
This is a small nucleolar RNA of Trichomycterus rosablanca, 86 nucleotides long. RefSeq annotates it as small nucleolar RNA SNORD60. The record is from RefSeq and is a predicted model, not a curated record. The transcript has a single exon. NCBI's taxonomy places the organism in Eukaryota, Metazoa, Chordata, Actinopteri, Siluriformes, Trichomycteridae.